Molecule: long non-coding RNA, 551 nt
Organism: Hordeum vulgare subsp. vulgare (domesticated barley)
Lineage: Eukaryota; Viridiplantae; Streptophyta; Magnoliopsida; Poales; Poaceae
Exons: 3
Source: RefSeq, a predicted model, not a curated record
AUUCUCAUACAGUUGCAUAGAGCUCUUGGUAAUUGUUUUCUAAAAACUUGCUAGCAUAUAAGGUUUUAUAGCUACAUACCACAAUUUGAUUUGUGAAAAUGGAAUUGAGCACCUCUCACUGUGUUAUGCAUUUGUUUCACUGCCAUGUGUUUAGUAGAUCAUGAACUGAUGCAUUCAAGGGAUCUCCAAAAGCUGGAAGGCACUCUUUCUCCUUUGCAUUUGGAGGAAAUGGAUCUGGCCCGAUCUUUAAGGCAAAAUAAAUUCAGAAUUAAAUUAUGUGAGAAAAAAUCCUCAGAAGGUGGAAACCGGGGUGGUUCUCUUAACAAAAAGCUCAAAAAGGAUAAGCUUGUAGGUCCAACAGGGAAAAAUACCAAAUCCGAAACAAGCAUGGUUUCUGCGGCACCUCGUGUGAAACCGGAGCUAACCCUUCCAGCAACGUAAUUUUUUCCUCUUUGUAAAUUUCUCUAUGAGAAGCUCAGUUUGAUCUACAGUUCUAAAUAAUUCCUCAACUGUAGCCUUUGAAAAAUAUAAAUACCAUUCCUAUAACUGAA